Molecule: ribosomal RNA, 440 nt
Filed under: uncultured bacterium
Lineage: Bacteria
Description: partial 16S ribosomal RNA
Rfam family: Bacterial small subunit ribosomal RNA
Source: RNAcentral
CCUACGGGAGGCAGCAGUGGGGAAUAUUGCACAAUGGAGGAGACCCUGAUGCAGCGACGCCGCGUGAAUGAAGAAGUAAUUCGUUAUGUAAAGCUCUAUCAGCAGAGAAAAAAAUGACGGUACCUGUGUAAGAAGCCCCGGCUAACUACGUGCCAGCAGCCGCGGUAAUACGUAGGGUGCAAGCGUUAUCCGGAUUUACUGGGUGUAAAGGGAGCGUAGACGGCAUGGCAAGUCUGGAGUGAAAGGCGGCGGCUCAACCCUCGGACUGCUCUGGAAACUGUACGGCUUGAGUGCAGGAGAGGUAAGUGGAAUUCGUAGUGUAGCGGUGAAAUGCGUAGAUAUUAGGAGGAACACCAGUGGCGAAGGCGGCUUACUGGACUGUAACUGACGUUGAGGCUCGAAAGCGUGGGGAGCAAACAGGAUUAGAUACCCCGGUAGUC